GAGCGUAUUGUGGGUUUCCUGUGUUGCAUACCUAAUUGAUGGCAUCGUUUUGAUUGAUUGGAGUCCCUUUUCGUCUUGUGUUGCUUUUGUGAUGCAUGAUGAACUUUGAAUCAGCCUCUAUGUUCCACCAUGUUGAUGCUAGUGUUUUGAUGUUGUGGCCCAUUGAGUGUUGCUUGGUUUCGUGGAUACAGAACAUUAUUUGGGCAUAGGGUCACUUGUGACUCUUGUUUUGUCCUUUAUCAGUGUUCUUUAUAACGACGGUUCAUGUGCGCCUAGGCUUGUACCUGCGCGAUGUUCUUUGUCGAAGAGGAAUGC
This 315-nucleotide unclassified non-coding RNA is filed under the name Senecio calocephalus. RNAcentral describes it as "partial contains external transcribed spacer and 18S ribosomal RNA". The record is from RNAcentral. Lineage: Eukaryota; Viridiplantae; Streptophyta; Magnoliopsida; Asterales; Asteraceae.